Mus musculus (house mouse) is the source of this 4513-nucleotide long non-coding RNA. RefSeq annotates it as predicted gene, 30310. Lineage: Eukaryota; Metazoa; Chordata; Mammalia; Rodentia; Muridae. The transcript has 3 exons. The record is from RefSeq and is a predicted model, not a curated record.
UGCUGAGACUUGAACUCAGGAUCUCGUGCAUGGUAGACAAGUGUCCUGUGGCUGAGCUACAUCCCCAGCCAUUCCUGAUUUAUCCAUGGCCUGCAUCCUUCACCUCAUCUCUACCCGAGGGUCUGAUGGAGCUGAGACCAGUCACAUUUAAAUUCAAAGCUGUUAGCAUAUAAAAGAAGAUUAAUGUCUUAUCUAUCUUGGGUUCUCUGGCCCCUUGUCAGUUAGAGUAAACAAAAGCUGGGAGAGCAGGAGAAAACAGGGCAGAUUUGUAACGUACGUGUGUGUGUGUGUGUGUGUGUGUGUGUGUGUGUGUGUGUGUGUGUGUGUGAGAGAGAGAGAGAGAGAGAGAGAGAGAGAGAGAGAGAGAAUGUGAGAGAGUGUGUGAGUGUGUGAAUGUGUGUGACAGGAAGAGAAGUUCAAGGGCAUUUGCAAUAACAAAAUAAGGUGUGAGGCUAGCCUGGGUUACAUGAGACCAGUCAGAAAACCAGCCAGCCAGCUGGGUGACACUGGUGCACUCCUUUACUCCCAGGACGUGGGAGGGAGGCAGAGGCAGUUAGAGGGCAGCCUGGUUUACUGAGACAGUUCCAGGACAGUCAGGGCUAAAGAGAAAGCCUGUCUUAAAAAAACAAAAUAAAACAAACAACAGCAAAAUAAGCAAUCUAUGCUCUUUAAGGGCUGCUGUUUUAACCCUUGUCUUCUUCUGUGCCCACUUUGAGCCAUCAGGGUGUCCUAGAAGUGCACCGUGCCCCCUCAGGUUCACUGUGCUGCCCUUUGAAGGUCUCCAGUGUCAAGCCUCUCACUUUGGAGGGGGCCACAGCCGGUGUGGAAGGAGACAGAAGGCAGGACAGAACAGGGCCUCACCUGAGUGUCUGCACUUUGAAUCCAGAACAGGCCACUGUGUGGCCUUCAUCAAGUGCUGUUAUGAGCCUGUUCUAUAAAACAGGAUGCCCCUCCCCAAGAUGUCUUUUAUUUAAAAAAAAAAAAAAUCCCUCUUAAAAAAAAGUUGCACAUAUCAUAGAAUUCACUCAAAUUAUACAAUUCAACUUAGAGUAUUUAGAUGUUAUCCUUUUUACUUAAAAUCUUGCCAUGACCAGCCCUGGUCUAGAAAGCACCCUGUUGUUCAGGCUGGCCUUGAACUUGGGGUGAGCCCCCUGAUUUAGCCUACUGAGUGUUGGGGUUAUAGGCGUGUACAGCCACACCACUCACAAUCCUCACUAUGUGCGUGUGUGCUCACCCAUGCUUGCCAGCAGCAUGUGUUGAAGUCCAAGGACGAGUCAGGUUUGUCCUCUCCUCUCCACCAUGUGGUGGAGGUCUAACUCAGGUUGUCAGGCUAGGGGCAAGGAAGGGCCUUUGCUCCAUGAGCCAUCUUGCUGGCCCAGCAUCUGCACUGUGGCCAGUACUGGUCAAUGAGGCUCUUCCCAUAGACAGAGUCUCUUCUCCCUAUUCAGGAGUCCAGGGCCUCAGGGUCGACUGUGACAUCACUAGCCCCUCUGAAAUGCUCUUUAAUGUCCAGGAGGCAUUUUCAACCUCAUGCUGUUUUCUGUGUUGAAGAAACGCUCCGAGCCUUCCGCUUUGGGGAUAUUGGUAGGAACUCAUGUCAGAUACCCCUUUUAUUAAAAUCCUUAAAGUAAAUGCCACUGGCAAAAUGUCUGUUUAACAUAGACGGAGCCUGAAGAGCCAGGCAGCUUCAACAGUUGCUCUGGAGACACUGGGCUCCUGAAAGUCGUCUCUGACCUCACAGAUACCCUGUGCCAUGUGUGCCAAUAAAGAAACAAAGGCACUUCUGGCUGUUUGUUUACUUUUUCAAGACAGGGUUUCUCUGUGUAGUCCUAGGGCUGGCCUGGAACUCAGAGGCAUGCCUGCCUCUGUCUCCCUGUCUCUCCAGUGCUGGGAUUGAAGGCAUGUGCCACCACCACCUCCUGGCUUUUUUUUUUUUAAAGAGUAGUGAGCGAAUGAGAUACUAAAUAGCAGCUGUUAGUGAGGCAGUUGUCAGAAUGUGUCUGAAAACUUAAAGUAGGGCUUUUGUUAUUUUUAUUUGAAACUGGGUCUUACUCUGCAGCCAGGGCCAGCCUCGAGCGUGAAUGUACAAACCUGUUCCUUUAGAGGAAUGUCCCACCUUUGCUGGCCUUAAAUUCACAGAGAUUGCUUGUCUCUGCUGGGCUUAAAGGUGUACCUGGUUACACCCAGGUCCUUGUGCAUGUUAGACUACCCAACUGUAUCGUGAAGCCACUUCCCGGGAUGGUUUUGGAGAAACUAAGUGCCUUCCUGGGAAUUUGAUUCUUAGAAUAGGAUGCAAGCAGAGCCAGGAGUCAGGCACCAAGACCUUGAGACUCUCACAUUCCUGCCACAACAGUUUCUCAGUCAUUCUAAACUCAACCAGCAGGGGGCGCCAGCGCACCAUGUUCCUCUGAGUGUCGGGUACCUAAGAAGCUGCCCGUGCUGCUUCCUGCCAGGAGAUGACCUCUAUGUGUCUUUUCUGCCUGUUCCUUUCAGCAGAGGAAAGUAAGGGGAUGCUCUGCUUGGAGCUACCUGGCAACCAGCAACUGAGUAGUGUGAUCCUGCCUCCGCAGAUGGAAGAAAAUGAAAGUGCAGAUCGUGCUGUGGGAAGCUGUUACCCUUGGCCUCAGCGUGUUCUAUGCAAUACCCCGUUUGCACUGCAUGUGUGUGUCCACAGAAGGAUUAGCCAGAGGGAAAAAAGAACAGUGUUUUUUUCCUAUAGAAAGGCAAGAGAGAAGACGACACGAUUCACUGGGUGUUUUGCAUGCACAUAUGCCUGUGCACCACAUGAGAAUCUGUCUGCAAAACAACUACAGGGUCAACAACCUACAUAAAGAUGAGAAGUGCGACUGCCUCCUCUGAUUGCAACACAUGUACCAUUGUCUUAAGGGUCACUGUUCUGUUGCUUCGAGGAUGCAUCGAGACCAAGGAAACUUUUAAAAGGAAGCAUGUGAUCGGGAGCUUGCUUACAGUUUCAGAAGGAGAAGGUAAAGCAAAGACCUGGACCACAGAGGCGAGUGCACAGGUGGAGGAGGCAGGGACAUCAAACAGGACAAGAGCCACAUAGAUGGCACAUGGGGAUGGGCAGCUAAGUGGGAAGUGGAUGCAGCUCACAAGUGCUCCAUCUGGUACCUGCCUGUAUGACUGCCACCUUCCUCAGUGACCCUUCCACACCACGUGCCACCUCACCUCUUAGUCUUCCCAUGUUGUCUUUCUUCACCUACGUAACUCUUCCUCAGGCCAGAGCUUUCCUGCGGUAGGGAUCAGACUUUUCAUGUGCAUAUGAAGCAGUUAAGUGAAUCAUGUGAUAGUUGCAUACUCUGUAGAUCCCCAGUGGGUGUGAAGUCUACAGAUGUCACUUGGAUUAGCAAGAUGCCCACGAAACUUCUCCCAAGCCCAGACCUUGGAGUCACACGAGCUUGCAGUGGUUUGGAUUUUCUUCUAUCAAGGAUCUGCAUCCCUCUCCCUCAGCUGUGCAGAGGACAUUUGCCUGAUUGGUUAUUGGUGGAGACUGGCGUUGAUCAAUGGGAAGCUCACAGAUGUGAUUGGAGCAAAGGCCUCACAUGGCAUUGCUGUCUUGUAGCUGCUGGUCCUCAAGAGUGAAAGUUUCAUGGAGCAGAGCCACACCAGCUUCUGUAGGUUGUAUAGUCCAGGAGCCUGAAGCCUGAAGCUGCCUCAGUGGGUGUGAUAACUCCAUGCCCUUUACCUCCAAGUGUGAGGGUGUUUUGUUACUGACUGAUACACUGAUUUUUUUCCUCCUGGGUUUUCAUUAAUCAUCUGCAUGUAUCUGUUAUCACUCAUAUGAGGAAAGAUUAAAUGGUCUGUUUACUUCUCUAACAGUUUUACUAGGUUUUAUGUUCAAACUGGGCAAAAACCACAGGCAUUUGUCACAUGACAACAAGGAGGCUUUCUGAGAAGUGUACUUCAGGGUGAUUUGUCAUUGUGCAAGCAUCAUGGUGCUCACACAGAUGUAGAUGGAUCUAAGCCAACCAUUGGGUGUGGCUUCAUCUCUUUAUUUAUUUUGAUUUUUGGAAUAGUGGUCCUCUGUGUAGCGUUGCUGUCCUCAAACUCACUCUGUAGACUAGGCUGGCCUCAAACUCCCAGAGCUCUGCCUGCCUCUGCCUCCUAAGUGCUGCGAUCAAAGGCGUGCACCACCACUGCCCGGCACUCACUCACUCAUUUUUGACACGUGACUUUGAGUUCACUAUGCAGCAGAAGACCACCUUGAACUUCUGACCAUCCUACCUCCAGAUCCUGAGCGUUGGCAUUUGGUUUAUGUGCGGCUGGGGAUGGGAUCCAUAGCCCCUGGCAUGCUAGAGAAACAUUUAACCAACUGAGCCACAAGACCAGCCUCUUGCUGUGGCUUCUUGUUGUCUUUAGGAGACAUGGUAAGCAUGAGACAUGAGAGCCUGUGGUCAGCAGGGCACAGUUUUAGAGCAAAUUAUGACAAAAAAUUAAAAUUGUAGCAUGGUGAAUAUAUAAAUAAAACCAUAACCAUUCUUUAUCACUACCAUUA